RNAcentral lists this long non-coding RNA (399 nucleotides) under Gossypium barbadense (sea-island cotton). RNAcentral's name for it is "long non-coding RNA (GBAR_LNC014769)". Lineage: Eukaryota; Viridiplantae; Streptophyta; Magnoliopsida; Malvales; Malvaceae. The record is from RNAcentral.
UGGUAUACAGUAUUACAACAUUCAUGUAAGGCCGCCAACAGUAACGCUUAUAAACAAACCUAGGAUCACCAUCAUACUAUUUGUUAGGGAAUCCCCCAAACAGUAGCAGGGAAGUAUUCACACCAUGGCUUUCCGGCAAGAACUGCUCAGUUUUAGAUACAGACUUCGCAUUCCCUUCUGUCUCCGGGAACGGGAACGACAGAGAAAGGGAAAGCGAGGCAGACACAUCAUCCGCCUCUUCCUUUCCUGUUACCUUAUCCAGGUUCUCACUUUUGUCUGCUGUUCCAACAAAGAAAGGCAGGAUCCCCUUAUUUGGUGGUCUCAUCUCAGCCCCCAAAGCAAGCUCAAGAUUUGGAGAGGCAUCCCCAGCUCUGUCCUCAUCUUUUACCAGAAGCUCUU